CCUACGGGAGGCUGCAGUGGGGAAUAUUGCACAAUGGGGGAAACCCUGAUGCAGCGACGCCGCGUGAGUGAGGAAGGAUUUCGGUAUGUAAAGCUCUAUCAGCAGGGAAGAAAAUGACGGUACCUGACUAAGAAGCCCCGGCUAACUACGUGCCAGCAGCCGCGGUAAUACGUAGGGGGCAAGCGUUAUCCGGAUUUACUGGGUGUAAAGGGAGCGUAGACGGAAUGGCAAGUCUGAUGUGAAAAUCCGGGGCCCAACCCCGGAACUGCAUUGGAAACUGUAUUUCUAGAGUGUCGGAGCGGCAAGUGGCCUUCCUGGUGUAGCGGUGAACUGCGUCGAUAUCAGGUGGAACCCCAGUGGCGACGGCGGCUUGCUGGACGAUGCCUGACGUUGCGGCUCGAAAGCGUGGGGAGCAAACAGGAUUAGCUACCCCUGUAGUC
Molecule: ribosomal RNA, 440 nt
Filed under: uncultured bacterium
Lineage: Bacteria
Description: partial 16S ribosomal RNA
Rfam family: Bacterial small subunit ribosomal RNA
Source: RNAcentral